RNAcentral lists this ribosomal RNA (460 nucleotides) under uncultured bacterium. RNAcentral's name for it is "partial 16S ribosomal RNA". It matches the Rfam family "Bacterial small subunit ribosomal RNA", at positions 338 to 795 of the family's 1533-position model. The record is from RNAcentral.
CCUACGGGAGACAGCAGUGAGGAAUAUUGGUCAAUGGGCGUAAGCCUGAACCAGCCAAGUCGCGUGAGGGAUGAAGGUUCUAUGGAUCGUAAACCUCUUUUAUAAGGGAAUAAAGUGUGGGACGUGUCCUGUUUUGUAUGUACCUUAUGAAUAAGGAUCGGCUAACUCCGUGCCAGCAGCCGCGGUAAUACGGAGGCUCCGAGCGUUAUCCGGAUUUAUUGGGUUUAAAGGGUGCGUAGGCGGCCUUUUAAGGCAGCGGUGAAAGUCUGUGGCUCAACCAUAGAAUUGCCGUUGAAACUGGGAGGCUUGAGUAUGUUUGAGGCAGGCGGAAUGCGUGGUGUAGCGGUGAAAUGCUUAGAUAUCACGCAGAACCCCGAUUGCGAAGGCAGCCUGCCAAGCCAUGACUGACGCUGAUGCACGAAAGCGUGGGGAUCAAACAGGAUUAGAUACCCGGGUAGUC